GGGGAGCUGGGCUCCCGGAGCCGGGGUACCAAGAGCCGCAGCCGGAGCAGGAGCAGGAGGGCGGCGGGCGAGGGCGGCAGGAGAGGGCGACGGGCAGCUUCGCGCCGAGAAAGCUCCGAGCAUCUGAGGGCUCUGCUUGCUGGUCUCCUCUGCGGCGGCUGGACUGAGGAGCGGAUGGCUGAGGAGCUAGAGAGGCGGCGGCCACGGCAGCUGCACUCGGCCCGGUCUCGGGCGCCUUCUUCGCCCCCCCGCCUUUGCAGACGGUUUACAAAAAAACUUUGCUUUGCACUCGGAACCCCCGUUUUCACACGGACCCGAGCGUGACAAGGCCUUGCCGCCCCGCCCACCAGGCCCGGCACGCUUCCCCAUUGGUCAGGACCCCCUCACGACAGCCUCGGCGUCCCGCCCAGCCACGCUCACUAUUGGAUGGAGCC
This 434-nucleotide long non-coding RNA is filed under the name Homo sapiens (human). Its description in RNAcentral is "HSALNT0021280". Lineage: Eukaryota; Metazoa; Chordata; Mammalia; Primates; Hominidae. The record is from RNAcentral.